GAUCAAAGUGUAGUAUCUGUUCUUAUCAGCUUAAUAUCUGAUACGAUGCUCAUCGAGUCUCUACGAUAUUAAACUGAUUUUUGGACUGAGGAGGGGUUUCUGGAGCUUGCUCCGAACCCUCCACGGGNUGGCC
Molecule: small nuclear RNA, 133 nt
Filed under: Malacoceros sp. AMW8671
Lineage: Eukaryota; Metazoa; Annelida; Polychaeta; Spionida; Spionidae
Description: partial U2 small nuclear RNA
Rfam family: U2 spliceosomal RNA
About the family: U2 is a small nuclear RNA (snRNA) component of the spliceosome (involved in pre-mRNA splicing). Complementary binding between U2 snRNA (in an area lying towards the 5' end but 3' to hairpin I) and the branchpoint sequence (BPS) of the intron results the bulging out of an unpaired adenosine, on the BPS, which initiates a nucleophilic attack at the intronic 5' splice site, thus starting the first of two transesterification reactions that mediate splicing.
Source: RNAcentral